GACGAACGCUGGCGGCGCGCCUAACACAUGCAAGUCGAACGAGCGAGAGAGAGCUUGCUUUCUCAAGCGAGUGGCGAACGGGUGAGUAACGCGUGAGGAACCUGCCUCAAAGAGGGGGACAACAGUUGGAAACGACUGCUAAUACCGCAUAAGCCCACGGCUCGGCAUCGAGCAGAGGGAAAAGGAGCAAUCCGCUUUGAGAUGGCCUCGCGUCCGAUUAGCUAGUUGGUGAGGUAAUGGCCCACCAAGGCGACGAUCGGUAGCCGGACUGAGAGGUUGAACGGCCACAUUGGGACUGAGACACGGCCCAGACUCCUACGGGAGGCAGCAGUGGGGAAUAUUGCACAAUGGGGGAAACCCUGAUGCAGCGACGCCGCGUGGAGGAAGAAGGUCUUCGGAUUGUAAACUCCUGUUGUUGAGGAAGAUAAUGACGGUACUCAACAAGGAAGUGACGGCUAACUACGUGCCAGCAGCCGCGGUAAAACGUAGGUCACAAGCGUUGUCCGGAAUUACUGGGUGUAAAGGGAGCGCAGGCGGGAAGACAAGUUGGAAGUGAAAUCCAUGGGCUCAACCCAUGAACUGCUUUCAAAACUGUUUUUCUUGAGUAGUGCAGAGGUAGGCGGAAUUCCCGGUGUAGCGGUGGAAUGCGUAGAUAUCGGGAGGAACACCAGUGGCGAAGGCGGCCUACUGGGCACCAACUGACGCUGGGGCUCGAAAGUGUGGGUAGCAAACAGGAUUAGAUACCCUGGUAGUCCACACUGUAAACGAUGAUUACUAGGUGUUGGAGGAUUGACCCCUUCAGUGCCGCAGUUAACACAAUAAGUAAUCCACCUGGGGAGUACGACCGCAAGGUUGAAACUCAAAGGAAUUGACGGGGGCCCGCACAAGCAGUGGAGUAUGUGGUUUAAUUCGACGCAACGCGAAGAACCUUACCAAGUCUUGACAUCCCUUGACGAUGCUGGAAACAGUAUUUCUCUUCGGAGCAAGGAGACAGGUGGUGCAUGGUUGUCGUCAGCUCGUGUCGUGAGAUGUUGGGUUAAGUCCCGCAACGAGCGCAACCCUUAUGGUCAGUUACUACGCAAGAGGACUCUGGCCAGACUGCCGUUGACAAAACGGAGAAAGGUGGGGAUGACGUCAAAUCAUCAUGCCCUUUAUGACUUGGGCUACACACGUACUACAAUGGCGUUAAACAAAGAGAAGCAAGACCGCGAGGUGGAGCAAAACUCAGAAACAACGUCCCAGUUCGGACUGCAGGCUGCAACUCGCCUGCACGAAGUCGGAAUUGCUAGUAAUCGCAGAUCAGCAUGAUGCGGUGAAUACGUUCCCGGGCCUU
This 1333-nucleotide ribosomal RNA is filed under the name uncultured bacterium. RNAcentral describes it as "bacterial SSU rRNA". It matches the Rfam family "Bacterial small subunit ribosomal RNA", at positions 28 to 1382 of the family's 1533-position model. The record is from RNAcentral.